AUGGCCAGAGACUCACUGAAAGUGCUGAGGAGGGGGAGAGAGGGAAGAGGGAAGCGUGGGACACCGGCUUGCCCCUGCCCACCAGGAGCCUCUGAGCCAUCAGAGCGGAGAGACUCUCCCCAGCCACAGUGCAGGAGAGUGGACGCCAACUCUGUGAGAAGGCGCAGGCCUCCACUAAUCGGCUCUAGAGAUGGGAUGAAACACUUUCCCCGUAAGAGGCUGGAGGCCGACUCUGUGAGGAGGUGCAGGUCUCCGUGCGGAAGGAGGAGAAACUCUCCCCAAGGCAGGAGGUUAGACAACCCUAUCAGGAGACGCAGGUCCCAGAUCGAGAGGGACCAAUCUCCUGGGAGCUGCAGAGAGAGGGAGGGAGAGAGUGAUGAGAGUAAGGAAGAAGAGGAAGGAAACAGCAGCAGCUCUGGCUCUGCCAGUGAGAGUGAGACGUCUGGAGAGAGUGAAGGAGAAAGACAGGAGAGAGAAAGUAGAAGAGUGAUGAAGCAGGCUGCUUGUCUGUUUGAAGAGAUAUCAGGGCUGAGGGUCAGGGAGAGUCACACCCAGGAGACAGAGAGUGAGGAGGAACAACAACAACAACAAGCAUUCCCUUAUUUGUUGAGAGUAAGGACCAACAGAACACCCAACCAUUUACCAAGAGAGAACGCUGGAGGCCGAGCCAGACCCAAACCAAAACCAAGUAGGAGCGAACCCACCAACAAUGACUCUCCUGGCCCAUCCCGAGCCAAGAACCCACGCAUGAGGCCCAACAUGAUCAAACUGAAGUCCAGAGAGAGAGUCAAAGCCAAGGACAUGGGGGAGGAAUCGCUCCUGAGCCGACGCAGAAGUCGAAGUGAGACAUCCAGCAGAAGUCCUUCUUCUCAGAGUGAGACAGUAGGAAGACGGGUCACUCCAGCCUUAACGUACACGUACAGACUAAGGCCCAGAGCCCCAGCUCCAGCUUCACAUAGGCAGGCCGAGCUUGAGAGAGAAGCUGCUGCCAUUAGAGAGAGGGGGAGGAAGAGAAAAGAAGAAACCCUGAGAGGACAGAACGAAGUCAAGGAGGAAGAGGAAGACGAGGAGGAGGAGGAAAAGGAGAGCGCAGCUCUUUCCUGCUUGGGACUGAAGGGAAGGAGAGGAGGGUUGGUGAACAAUGGUAAGGGACUAAACCUGAGAUGGCGUGAUGACAACACCAAACGGAAGAGAAGAAAGAGGGCCAGAGAGGAGGAGGAGAGCAGUGAGGAGUUGGUGGAGAGGGUGUGGUCCAGGGAGGGCUGGAAGAGGAAUAAGAACAAUAGAAACACUAGUCCGGAGAUACCCAUCGUUAUCCACUAUCUAACCCGACAAAGGAGAGGCCAGUUGAAGAACCCACUACCCAACGAUAGAGGAUCGUCCUCUUCUUCUUCGUCCUCAGACUCCAGUAUCUUUAAUCUUGGACCCAACCCCAGUAAGACCGGACUACACGUAGUAUCAAUUCAGCAGAAGAAGAAUUAG
RNAcentral lists this long non-coding RNA (1482 nucleotides) under Oncorhynchus mykiss (rainbow trout). RNAcentral's name for it is "lncRNA (ENSOMYG00000055177.1)". The record is from RNAcentral. Lineage: Eukaryota; Metazoa; Chordata; Actinopteri; Salmoniformes; Salmonidae.